GCUCGCUGGCACACAUCAGAGCUGUAGAUCCCUCAUCGUCCUGCACAUUGACAUCAGCGCCACACUCCAGCAGGGCCCGCACCAUCUCCUGCCGCCCGUGGCUAACUGCCAACAUCAGCGCCGUCUGGCCUGCCUGCAGAGAGGACUACUGCUCACUAACCCGUAUCCAGCAGCAGCCCGACUACGCCAAAGUUGGAGUGGGAGACGCUGUAGUGAAGAGCUGUGUUGCCGUUGCCAUCUGUCAUGUUGACCACAUGUUCCAGCAGCACUGACGACACCUCAGAGAACGCCAUCAAAUAGUCUGAGACCCGUGGUGACUGAGCCAUCUUGGCGCUGGAGAUACGGAACCACUCGAGCUGGACAGUGUGGGUGCUGGAGAGCUGAAGGGUGGGAGUGGGAAGUCACAUAUAGUUACGCACUUUAAACAAUGGUUCACAACAGCACCUGAAACAGAACCAUCUCCUUGAGACAAAAGGUAAAAAUAACUAAAAAAAAUACAGUGUAUAGAGGCAGUCAAGACCAAGACUGUACUUGUCUCAAGUUCAUUGCAGCCUGACAUAUCACUGAAUGUUAAGGGAAGUUCUUUUACCAUCUGUUAUUAAACUUAGACUUACUUCCUGGGCC
Long non-coding RNA from Amphiprion ocellaris (clown anemonefish), 624 nucleotides. RefSeq lists it as uncharacterized. Lineage: Eukaryota; Metazoa; Chordata; Actinopteri; Pomacentridae. The transcript is spliced from 2 exons. The record is from RefSeq and is a predicted model, not a curated record.